Molecule: ribosomal RNA, 253 nt
Filed under: uncultured prokaryote
Description: partial 16S ribosomal RNA
Rfam family: Bacterial small subunit ribosomal RNA
Source: RNAcentral
ACGGGGGGAGCAAGCGUUGUUCGGAUUUACUGGGCGUAAAGGGCGCGUAGGCGGUUUGUCGCGUCUGCUGUGAAAACGCGAGGCUCAACCUCGCGCCUGCAGUGGGUACGGGCAGACUAGAGUGCGGUAGGGGAGACUGGGAUUCCUGGUGUAGCGGUGGAAUGCGCAGAUAUCAGGAGGAACACCGGUGGCGAAGGCGGUGGUCUGGGCCGGUACUGACGCUGAGGAGCGAAAGCGUGGGGAGCGAACAGGA